Ostrea edulis (European flat oyster) is the source of this 943-nucleotide long non-coding RNA. RefSeq lists it as uncharacterized. NCBI's taxonomy places the organism in Eukaryota, Metazoa, Mollusca, Bivalvia, Ostreida, Ostreidae. The transcript is spliced from 2 exons. The record is from RefSeq and is a predicted model, not a curated record.
CUUUGCUAUCACAAGAAGUGUAUACCGAAAUUGGACUGAAAGCGUCUUGUUGUUCAUUAGACAAAUUCGCUCAGGUUAUAUGAUGAGCGCCCAAUCAAAUUUGCCUCAUUAAUUAUUUAUGAGAACGAGCGAGUAGGAAUAAAUGGACCCACGGGUGAUGGAGAGAGGAACGAAGCGUAAUCAACCGUGGGUUUCCGACGAUGCAUUUUCAUCAGAUGUAACGUAAUUCAUGUGGAAGUUGCUUCAGCAGUAUUGAAGCAUCGUCGCGAACCACGGUUUUGAGUCCACACACGCUCCCUCAAACCCGGGUGACGAUGGAGAGAAUCGAUUAGAAGCACCCAUGGGUAACCGACGAUGUCUGAUAGGCGCUGUGAGGAGAACAACAGUCACCUUUAAAGUUAGCAUUUCGCAAAUUCUAUGGUCGUUAUAAUAAUACAAUUUAUUACUGGGCGGAAUACUGUCUGAUGUGAGUCAUACCAAUUGAUACGCCGUUCUUUACAUACUGAUUUUGACUGUGGAUUACUCUGUUUACCCGAUUAAGGCAUAGGACUCACGACGGGUGUGACCGGUCAACAGAUGGCUACUUCUCUUAGGCACCUCAUCCCACCUCUAGUAUGUCCAUGGGUCCGUAUUUGCCUUUCUCUUAAUUUUGUAUUCUUUAUUAUGAUUUUUUAUAUUGAUCAGUGUUCAUUAUCUUCUCUUGUUCAUACCCGUGUUCAAGAAAUAUCGUCUAUAUUUUAAUUAUAAUAUUCAUUAGCUUUAUGUAUUUUACCACUGUUAAACUCGUCAAUUUAUUUCAAACACAAGAACACAAGGUAUAGUAGUAUGCUAUCAUUGGUAUGUGAACAACACGAAUUCAUAUACUAGUAGAUAUUUUAGCAACAUGUAAACAAACCAAAAAUAAUGAAAAUAAAAAAAAAAAAUAAAGAGAGGUUUCAUUAAA